GCAGGGCAGGAAAAUCACAAGAGGGAAAUGCAACAGUGAGGGCAGGGUAGGCAACCAAACUGACACCCAGAGUUUGGGGCAGGGCAGGCGAGGUAGCAAACACUGAAGAGCCAAAGCGGGGCACGUAACUUUACAAAGGUUGGAGGGCUGGGGCGGGACAGGCAAAUUUAACAAAAGCGGAGUCCGAGCAGGCAAACCAACAGAAAAGAAGGCUCCCCAAGGGGCAGGCUGCAAGAGGGAAGGGGAAACAACUGCAGGGAGGCUGGGGGCCCCAGCCAAAUGCAGCUGGGGCAGGGAGGGUAAGUCCAAGGAGGGGGAGGAUAAGUCCAAGCAGUGAUGGUAGGGGGGAGCAGAUGGGGGAGGGCUCCAUGCCCCUCCCCCUUGCUCCCCACAACAGCAGCAGGAGUGACCACCACCCCAGGAGCCAAGAUGUUAAAAAGUCACUCAGUCCAUGAACAAACCACCUCCACAAUGUCCCACAGCAGGAGCCCUUUUCUUCCUUCUCUUCAGCAGCAGGCUCCAACACAGCAGCAGCAACCAGCGGCCAGCCAGGAAUGGUAGUGGUGGAGUCAGGUGCUCCUCUCCGGAGGGUUUCCAAUAAGGCAGGGUCCCCUGCACAGCAGCAGCAGCCAGGGGGAGAGCUCCAGACAGACAGAAUGACCAGCAGCUGGAGUAGGAUGGAGAGGGGCUCCCACUGCCCAGAGGGAAGGAACCCCUCACUGAGCCCUGGUGGGCGAAGCCAGGACAUGCUCACCCCUCCUGCCGAAAGUCAGUGGGUGGGACAGGAAGUAUAAAAGGCAGGCCUGACGCUCAGUUGAGCUGCAGCCACCAGAGGAGUCAGAUGCCCCCUGCUUGAUCCCAAGCUGGGAGACUGCUGCUGGCUGCCCCAGGGAGUUGAGGACCAGACAGAGGUGCUACCAGCCCUACCACAGGCCUUCUACUUGGAUGAUCUAAACAACCCUCUACAGACACAGGCCCUUCUCCACUGCCUCGUGAGCAGCAGUCUCCGAUGCCAGAAAGAUGAUCUUCCCAUACAUCUUGGAGGCCACCGCUGCCAUGGGCCCCACCACCUGUGCCAAUGCCCCCAUGUAGGUCUCCACAUGGGGUGAGGUGGGCACCACGAGCAACAGGAGUUACCACCACCACCCCAGGAGCGAAGAUGCUAGAAGUCGCUCAGUUCCAGAACAAACCCCCUCCACAAUGUACUGCAGCAGGAGUCGUCCUCCACAAGAGCAGCAAACUCUGAGCAAGAGUCCAAAAGGACUGAUUGUCUUGGAAAAUAUAGAAGAUACACUGGGACUGAAGUUCAAAUUAGUACAACCUGGGAAAAACCCCUGGCUUUCUCAUGAGCGAUCCUUGGCUGUUGUCUUAAAAUUACUGCAACCAUUAUUAUUAGCUUUGGAAACUAUCUACUGAGAUGGGACGGAUUUAAGUAAUGAGGCUGGUGGACUACUUUUGCUACUAAGUUCAAAGAAGACAAUCACCAUUCUUUUUUUUAAACCCACGAAAGCUUAUGCCCAAAUAAAUCUGUUAGCCUUUAAGGUGCCACCGGACUCCUAGUCUGUAUCCACAAAAACAACUAACAGGGCUACCCCUCUGAUACUUGACAUUCUCUCUCAUAAGUCUACCGUUGAAACUACUUGGGUCAUUUAAAUAACGCCAUGCAGGCAUCUGCUACAACAGUAGUAGAUCUAUGUCCAGCAAUGGAAACUACACUUAGAUCAGAGAGAGAUCCAUUGAAAAUGUACUAGAAGCAGCAAAGACUUCAGUUCAGAAGUUGACUAAUGAGGGCACUUACAUUGACUCCUUAAAUGAAGAGGACAAAAAGUGUUAAGCCAGCUGAAAAAGUAAAGUACACAGACUUAAUUCUUACAGCUCUACAAAACCAAUUUCUGGAUUCUAUCAACCUCUACAUAGCUUUUACAAAUGCCUGUCUUAUAAAACACAGACAGUUGCGUGGAGUGAGGCACUACCACCAAUGGGGCUACCAUGUGAUCAGGGCAGAAUAGAGAAUUUGAACACAGAGUGGAAUGUCAUACGAUGAACAAAGGAAGAUUUGACUUCAACUUCUUCUUCUUUAUCAUCACGAGUGGUUUGACCCAAUUUUUAUGCUAUGUUUCCUGAGAUGAAAGAAGUAGGAACUCCUCUCUUUCUAAUCCUAGUCAUAACAGCUACAGGUGAGCGUUCUUUUUCCUCAUUCAGUAGAAUUGUGUGUUCUGUGUGAUCAUGAGCAUAGCAGGAAGGACUGGACACAGGAGAAACCACCACCAAUGAAUGCACUGCAUUAGAGAAGUUCAUUAACAGAGUUGUGCAAAAUUACAAGAAGAAAGCAAGAAGGCUGUACAUAUAGUGCUUCAUAGUAGGCUUGUAUAGCUAACUUUAAUUUGUGUGAUGAUUUAAAAACAUGAGUUAAAUCUAAUAAAAUGGCU
Molecule: long non-coding RNA, 2429 nt
Organism: Chrysemys picta bellii (western painted turtle)
Lineage: Eukaryota; Metazoa; Chordata; Testudines; Emydidae
Source: RefSeq, a predicted model, not a curated record